RNAcentral lists this ribosomal RNA (534 nucleotides) under uncultured Roseibacillus sp. RNAcentral describes it as "bacterial SSU rRNA". It matches the Rfam family "Bacterial small subunit ribosomal RNA", at positions 71 to 603 of the family's 1533-position model. The record is from RNAcentral. Lineage: Bacteria; Pseudomonadati; Verrucomicrobiota; Verrucomicrobiia; Verrucomicrobiales; Verrucomicrobiaceae.
UUCAAUAGCUUGCUAAUGAAAUUCUUAGUGGCGGACGGGUUAGUAACACGUGAGAAUCCUACCCUUGAGUGGGGAAUAGCCUUUCGAAAGGAAGAUUAAUGCCCCAUAGUCUCUACGGAGUAAAGAUGCCUUCGGGUGUCGCUUAAGGAUGGGCUCGCGGCCUAUCAGCUAGUUGGUGAGGUAAGAGCUCACCAAGGCAACGACGGGUAGCUGGUCUGAGAGGACGAUCAGCAACACUGGAACUGAGACACGGUCCAGACACCUACGGGUGGCAGCAGUCGAGAAUCAUUCACAAUGGACGAAAGUCUGAUGGUGCAACGCCGCGUGGAGGAUGACGGCCCUAGGGUUGUAAACUCCUGUCAUCAGGGAGUAAGACUUAUUCGUUAAUAGCGUGUAAGUUUGAUAGUACCUGAAGAGGAAGGGACGGCUAACUUCGUGCCAGCAGCCGCGGUAAUACGAAGGUCCCAAGCGUUGUUCGGAAUAACUGGGCGUAAAGCGUGUGUAGGCCGCGCGGAAAGUCGGAUGUGAAAGCCC